AGAGUUUGAUCAUGGCUCAGAUUGAACGCUGGCGGCAGGCCUAACACAUGCAAGUCGAGCGGUAGCACAGAGAGCUUGCUCUCGGGUGACGAGCGGCGGACGGGUGAGUAAUGUCUGGGAAACUGCCUGAUGGAGGGGGAUAACUACUGGAAACGGUAGCUAAUACCGCAUAACGUCGCAAGACCAAAGAGGGGGACCUUCGGGCCUCUUGCCAUCAGAUGUGCCCAGAUGGGAUUAGCUAGUAGGUGGGGUAACGGCUCACCUAGGCGACGAUCCCUAGCUGGUCUGAGAGGAUGACCAGCCACACUGGAACUGAGACACGGUCCAGACUCCUACGGGAGGCAGCAGUGGGGAAUAUUGCACAAUGGGCGCAAGCCUGAUGCAGCCAUGCCGCGUGUAUGAAGAAGGCCUUCGGGUUGUAAAGUACUUUCAGCGGGGAGGAAGGUGUUGAGGUUAAUAACCUCAGCAAUUGACGUUACCCGCAGAAGAAGCACCGGCUAACUCCGUGCCAGCAGCCGCGGUAAUACGGAGGGUGCAAGCGUUAAUCGGAAUUACUGGGCGUAAAGCGCACGCAGGCGGUCUGUCAAGUCGGAUGUGAAAUCCCCGGGCUCAACCUGGGAACUGCAUUCGAAACUGGCAGGCUAGAGUCUGUAGAGGGGGGUAGAAUUCCAGGUGUAGCGGUGAAAUGCGUAGAGAUCUGGAGGAAUACCGGUGGCGAAGGCGGCCCCCUGGACAAAGACUGACGCUCAGGUGCGAAAGCGUGGGGAGCAAACAGGAUUAGAUACCCUGGUAGUCCACGCCGUAAACGAUGUCGACUUGGAGGUUGUGCCCUUGAGGCGUGGCUUCCGGAGCUAACGCGUUAAGUCGACCGCCUGGGGAGUACGGCCGCAAGGUUAAAACUCAAAUGAAUUGACGGGGGCCCGCACAAGCGGUGGAGCAUGUGGUUUAAUUCGAUGCAACGCGAAGAACCUUACCUACUCUUGACAUCCAGAGAACUUUCCAGAGAUGGAUUGGUGCCUUCGGGAACUCUGAGACAGGUGCUGCAUGGCUGUCGUCAGCUCGUGUUGUGAAAUGUUGGGUUAAGUCCCGCAACGAGCGCAACCCUUAUCCUUUGUUGCCAGCGGUCCGGCCGGGAACUCAAAGGAGACUGCCAGUGAUAAACUGGAGGAAGGUGGGGAUGACGUCAAGUCAUCAUGGCCCUUACGAGUAGGGCUACACACGUGCUACAAUGGCGCAUACAAAGAGAAGCGACCUCGCGAGAGCAAGCGGACCUCAUAAAGUGCGUCGUAGUCCGGAUUGGAGUCUGCAACUCGACUCCAUGAAGUCGGAAUCGCUAGUAAUCGUAGAUCAGAAUGCUACGGUGAAUACGUUCCCGGGCCUUGUACACACCGCCCGUCACACCAUGGGAGUGGGUUGCAAAAGAAGUAGGUAGCUUAACCUUCGGGAGGGCGCUUACCACUUUGUGAUUCAUGACUGGGGUGAAGUCGUAACAAGGUAACCGUAGGGGAACCUGCGGCUGGAUCACCUCCUU
RNAcentral lists this ribosomal RNA (1531 nucleotides) under Enterobacter sp. Its description in RNAcentral is "bacterial SSU rRNA". It matches the Rfam family "Bacterial small subunit ribosomal RNA". The record is from RNAcentral. Lineage: Bacteria; Pseudomonadati; Pseudomonadota; Gammaproteobacteria; Enterobacterales; Enterobacteriaceae.